Pseudophryne corroboree (corroboree frog) is the source of this 127-nucleotide small nucleolar RNA. RefSeq annotates it as small nucleolar RNA SNORA71. The transcript has a single exon. NCBI's taxonomy places the organism in Eukaryota, Metazoa, Chordata, Amphibia, Anura, Myobatrachidae. The record is from RefSeq and is a predicted model, not a curated record.
ACCUGCAUCGAAAGUGAUUGUGGUUUGAUCAGUGGCCCAGUCAUUGAUACUGCAGGGAGAGCAUAAUGUGAGACAUUCCCGUGUUUGGAUGUCACUUGUACAUCUCAAACCCUGUAUCUUUCAAACA